UACGUAGGGUGCGAGCGUUGUCCGGAAUUAUUGGGCGUAAAGGGCGCGUAGGCGGUUUGUACAGUCAGACGUGAAAUUCCUGGGCUCAACCUGGGGGCUGCGUUUGAUACGUGCGGACUUGAGUUCGGAAGAGGGUCGUGGAAUUCCCAGUGUAGAGGUGAAAUUCGUAGAUAUUGGGAAGAACACCGGUGGCGAAGGCGGCGGCCUGGUCCGAUACUGACGCUGAGGCGCGAAAGCGUGGGGAGCAAACAGG
RNAcentral lists this ribosomal RNA (253 nucleotides) under uncultured bacterium. RNAcentral's name for it is "partial 16S ribosomal RNA". It matches the Rfam family "Bacterial small subunit ribosomal RNA", at positions 524 to 776 of the family's 1533-position model. The record is from RNAcentral.